RNAcentral lists this long non-coding RNA (221 nucleotides) under Homo sapiens (human). Its description in RNAcentral is "HSALNT0240801". The record is from RNAcentral. Lineage: Eukaryota; Metazoa; Chordata; Mammalia; Primates; Hominidae.
AACAGAUCUUGGCUCUUCAAACAUAUCUUAAACUCUUAAACAUUGCAGUCAGAAUGAUCUGUCUAAAUAGAUCUGGUCAUGCACCUUCCCUAUUUAAAACUCUUCAAUGGCUCUCUAGUGCUGCAAAAAACAUGUAAAAGGCACCGGAAGACGCCCCAGCCAGCCUCUGGCCUCACCAAUCCUCAUUAUUUUUCUAUCCACGAACACUAGAUAAUUCUGGU